RNAcentral lists this ribosomal RNA (379 nucleotides) under uncultured cyanobacterium. RNAcentral describes it as "bacterial SSU rRNA". It matches the Rfam family "Bacterial small subunit ribosomal RNA", at positions 376 to 770 of the family's 1533-position model. The record is from RNAcentral. Lineage: Bacteria; Bacillati; Cyanobacteriota.
CGAAAGCCUGACGGAGCAACGCCGCGUGAGGGAUGAAGGCCUCUGGGCUGUAAACCUCUUUUAUCAAGGAAGAAGAUCUGACGGUACUUGAUGAAUAAGCCACGGCUAAUUCCGUGCCAGCAGCCGCGGUAAUACGGGAGUGGCAAGCGUUAUCCGGAAUUAUUGGGCGUAAAGCGUCCGCAGGCGGUUUUGUAAGUCUGUCGUUAAAGCGUGGAGCUUAACUCCAUUUGAGCGAUGGAAACUGCAAGACUAGAGUGUGGUAGGGGCAGAGGGAAUUCCCGGUGUAGCGGUGAAAUGCGUAGAUAUCGGGAAGAACACCAGUGGCGAAGGCGCUCUGCUGGGCCAUAACUGACGCUCAUGGACGAAAGCCAGGGGAGCG